GCUUAGUGUUUGCAAACAAAAGAGCUUACGUUGGUUUAUAUAGCUAUAGCCAGUAUUUACAGCUUAAAUUAAAGUUUUAAUCUUAGCCUAAUCAAAGGUAACUUGCAAAAUUGAACUAAACCCCGAGGUGACAAUUUUGUAACGAAGUUAUCGGCUACUUAUGAAGGAGAAAUUUGAUAAAUUGGGGUUACAACUUUAAAUUGAAUUAGAAAUGGUCAGGCGCAAGCUAUUCUGAAAAACUGUAAGGGAUUUUAAUACAUGGAAGCCAGCAUUUGGCAUUUGUAUGCAGAAAAAUAUAAUUUUUGUAUGCUUUUAGUGCGUCUGCGGUUCUCUUGAUCGCGAUAACAGAGUUUAAAUUGCAACGUCAACAACCAGAGGUGUAAUGUUCAUGACGUCACACUGCACUGAUGCCCCAGCUGAACAACAUCAAGACGGCCACGUGCAAUAAUACCGUACAAUAUACAGAUCAGCUGCUUUGCAUUCUCAUAUAUCAAAAUCUACCGGGACCUGCGAUUGCAUUGUUUAUCAAUACAACUUGAUUCAAAACAAGCGAGAAAAAUUGGAGCUUCAGCUGGUUGAUCGCUCUCAACGUGGUUUUCAAGAGAACAGCUUCUUUCCACAACAGCGGAGAAAAUUGAUUGAAAGAUUACAUCUCGGGUCAUCAAAACACGCUUAUUGUGGUAAUUCAGGGUCACUUAUAUCAAUCACCUUCAGCCAACUGCGGGAUAUUUGUACCUAAAAAGUCACGAUUCACGUUCAAACCGAAUUCUUCGUAUACUUGUUGCAAGCGAAAGCCACAGUAGCUGGCAUCUAACUGAGAGAGUCUGCGUCAGCCUUACGGAGUUUAAGUCGUCAACAUUUGCUUGGACUGAUUUUGAAGCCGAGUUGUACAGUGCAUUGCCGGAUUGUCCAGUCUUCAAGCCCUCGACAACCUUACUCCUAAGCUCAGCUACCUUCGCUGAAUUAUUUGAACAUCAAAGAAUAUGAACGUCAGAGUUAAAGGCCGAAAUCUACUGAGCCGAAGAAGCUUUGUGACAGGGAAGUCAAUAUGCGAUGAAACAAGGUGGCUUCUAAUCUCUGGGAGCAAUUCCGACAUCACAGAUCAGACUCAAAUUUGCGAUUUAAACCAAGCUUCGAAUGAUUGGAGCUCGAAGGCGCAAGAUAUUAAUCCUUUGAGAAGAACAAGGUCAGUGACAGGGUCGAAUGGCUUUCCACAAACCACACAAAAACCUAAUGAUGGUAAAGUUUGCGGUAACGCUUGCGAACGAUGUAGUUAUCCAAAGAUUGUAGCAGCUGUGAGUGAUGAUGUGAAAGGCUGUCUUCCAAGCCCGACUCUAAUGAGACGCCGUAAUGCCAUAUGCGAUGAAAUCGAAAAAAGAACUAUGGCUAUGUCUGGGAGAACAUUGAGACAAAAACGAGUUGAUAUGCUUCGAUCGAUUGCCUUGACGCAAUUCUCAUUGUUGUAAUAUCACUGCAAUGUCCGUGCACACGCGAAAAAAUUAGCCCGGUCUGCACUUCAUGAGCCUGAACGUAGCUCGUAGAAUCGAUGACAGAUUACAAGAGGGAUUUUCAGUUUAGAUGCAGACCUAUGCCCGAUGAUGAAAGUGUCAUUCUAUUCGUUGUAAACAGAGGUAGAGAUUAUAUACGUCCUGGGUGUUCAUAUAGUGGAGGUUGAUGUAUAAGGAUAGGUCCCAUCGUAAUAUGUAUAAACUGUUGAAGUAAUUGUUUAAGUACGAAACAGUUAAACGAAAGUUGCGUUUUACUUUCUCUAGAGAAUAAAAUUCCACGGGGUUCCAUC
RNAcentral lists this long non-coding RNA (1798 nucleotides) under Orbicella faveolata. RNAcentral describes it as "uncharacterized LOC110053998, transcript variant X2". The record is from RNAcentral. Lineage: Eukaryota; Metazoa; Cnidaria; Anthozoa; Scleractinia; Merulinidae.